Molecule: ribosomal RNA, 776 nt
Filed under: uncultured bacterium
Lineage: Bacteria
Description: bacterial SSU rRNA
Rfam family: Bacterial small subunit ribosomal RNA
Source: RNAcentral
AUGCAAGUCGAACGGUCCAGCCCUGCUUGCAGGGUUGGAUAGUGGCGAACGAGGUAGUAAUACACAGAAACGUACCCUCAAGUCGGGCAUAAUUCGUCGAAAGGCGGACUAAUUCCCGAUAGUCCCCGCUUUUAGCGGGGUAAAGAUUUAUCGCUUGAGGAUCGGUCUGUGCGCUAUCAGCUUGUUGGUAAGGUAACGGCUUACCAAGGCUAUGACGGCUAGGGGGAGUGAGAGCUCGAUCCCCACCGAUGGCACUUAGACACGGGCCAUACAUCUACGGAUGGCAGCAGCCGAGAUUCUUCCACAAUGGGCGAAAGCCUGAUGGAGCGACGCCGCGUGCAGGAUGAAGCCCCUCGGGGUGUAAACUGCUUUUAUGGGUGAAAAAUUUCGAUGAUAUUAACCUAAGAAUAAGGGGUUGCUAAACUCGUGCCAGCAGCAGCGGUAAUACGAGUACCCCGAGCGUUAUCCGGAUUUAUUGGGCGUAAAGGGUGUGUAGGGAACCAUGUUAGUCCAGUUUUAAAACUUCCGGCUUAACCGGAAAGAUGGGCUGGAAACGGCGUGGAUUUGAGGAUGCGAGAGGUCUGUGGAACUCACGGUGUAGGGGUGAAAUCCGUUGAUAUCGUGGGGAACACCAAAGGCGAAGGCAGCAGACUGGCGCAUUCCUGACCCUGAAACACGAAAGCGUGGGUAGCGAAUGGGAUUAGAUACCCCAGUAGUCCACGCCCUAAACGAUGUUCACUGGCUUUUCCAAGUAUCGACCCUUGGAGAGGCGAAGC